Molecule: ribosomal RNA, 700 nt
Filed under: Paenarthrobacter histidinolovorans
Lineage: Bacteria; Bacillati; Actinomycetota; Actinomycetes; Micrococcales; Micrococcaceae
Description: bacterial SSU rRNA
Rfam family: Bacterial small subunit ribosomal RNA
Source: RNAcentral
CGGCGUGCUUAACACAUGCAAGUCGAACGAUGAUCCCAGCUUGCUGGGGGAUUAGUGGCGAACGGGUGAGUAACACGUGAGUAACCUGCCCUUGACUCUGGGAUAAGCCUGGGAAACUGGGUCUAAUACCGGAUAUGACUCCUCAUCGCAUGGUGGGGGGUGGAAAGCUUUUGUGGUUUUGGAUGGACUCGCGGCCUAUCAGCUUGUUGGUGGGGUAAUGGCCUACCAAGGCGACGACGGGUAGCCGGCCUGAGAGGGUGACCGGCCACACUGGGACUGAGACACGGCCCAGACUCCUACGGGAGGCAGCAGUGGGGAAUAUUGCACAAUGGGCGCAAGCCUGAUGCAGCGACGCCGCGUGAGGGAUGACGGCCUUCGGGUUGUAAACCUCUUUCAGUAGGGAAGAAGCGUAAGUGACGGUACCUGCAGAAGAAGCGCCGGCUAACUACGUGCCAGCAGCCGCGGUAAUACGUAGGGCGCAAGCGUUAUCCGGAAUUAUUGGGCGUAAAGAGCUCGUAGGCGGUUUGUCGCGUCUGCUGUGAAAGACCGGGGCUCAACUCCGGUUCUGCAGUGGGUACGGGCAGACUAGAGUGCAGUAGGGGAGACUGGAAUUCCUGGUGUAGCGGUGAAAUGCGCAGAUAUCAGGAGGAACACCGAUGGCGAAGGCAGGUCUCUGGGCUGUAACUGACGCUGAGGAGCG